This is a small nuclear RNA of Myotis lucifugus (little brown bat), 105 nucleotides long. The record is from Ensembl. NCBI's taxonomy places the organism in Eukaryota, Metazoa, Chordata, Mammalia, Chiroptera, Vespertilionidae.
GUACUCAUUUGGCAGCACAUAGACUAAAAUUCAAAUGAUACAAGGAAGGUUAGCAUGGCCCCUGUGCAAGGAUGUUAUACAAAUUAUUAAGCAUUCCAUAUUUUA